AGCAAGGCCUUGGGCGUGAAGAACCAGAAGCUUUCCACCUACGAGAAGGAGUUCUUGGCGGUGAUGAUGGCCGUAGAAAAAUGGCGCUCCUACGUCCAGCGCGGGCCGUUCACCAUCGUCACCGACCACAAGUGUUUGUGUGCACUCGGCGAUCAGCACCUGGUGACCGACGUCCAGCGCCGCGCCAUGUCCAAGCUCGUCGGCCUUCAAUUCAAGUUCCAGUACAAGCGCUGGGUCGACAACGGCGCCAUGGACGCACUCUCGCGUGUGGGAAGCCACUUCAGCGCGAAUUCGCUGUGCCUGUGCCAGCCUGCGUGGAUCCAGGAGGUGGCCAACUCAUACGCUAUGGACCCCGACGCCCAAGAACGACUACAGCAACUCUCUGUGCAUAGCCCGGACGACGACGAGUACGAGCUGUAUCGCGGGGUCAUCCGUCGCCACGGGCGGCUGUGA
This 453-nucleotide ribosomal RNA is filed under the name Triticum aestivum (bread wheat). Its description in RNAcentral is "partial small subunit ribosomal RNA". The record is from RNAcentral. Lineage: Eukaryota; Viridiplantae; Streptophyta; Magnoliopsida; Poales; Poaceae.